Molecule: ribosomal RNA, 484 nt
Filed under: uncultured bacterium
Lineage: Bacteria
Description: partial 16S ribosomal RNA
Rfam family: Bacterial small subunit ribosomal RNA
Source: RNAcentral
AUUGAACGCUGGCGGCAGGCCUAACACAUGCAAGUCGAGCGGAUGAAGGGAGCUUGCUCCUGGAUUCAGCGGCGGACGGGUGAGUAAUGCCUAGGAAUCUGCCUGGUAGUGGGGGAUAACGUCCGGAAACGGGCGCUAAUACCGCAUACGUCCUGAGGGAGAAAGUGGGGGAUCUUCGGACCUCACGCUAUCAGAUGAGCCUAGGUCGGAUUAGCUAGUUGGUGGGGUAAAGGCCUACCAAGGCGACGAUCCGUAACUGGUCUGAGAGGAUGAUCAGUCACACUGGAACUGAGACACGGACCAGACUCCUAAGGGAGGCAGCAGUUGGGAAUAUUGGACAAUGGGCGAAAGCCUGAUCCAGCCAGGCCGCGUGUGUGAAGAAGGUCUUCGGAUUGUAAAGCACUUUAAGUUGGGAGGAAGGGCAGUAAGUUAAUACCUUGCUGUUUUGACGUUACCAACAGAAUAAGCACCAGCUAACUUAGUG